CCCAUCUUAGGAUCACAUCUGAAGAGUUUCCAGUACUCUGCCAGUCUCAGCUACGGGAGGUAGAGUCAAGCAGAGGCAUAGCCAUUCCAUUCCUAGUUUAGACAGGGGCUAGCGAGUGGAAGGCAAUCUGCUACAAAU
Small nucleolar RNA from Tachyglossus aculeatus (Australian echidna), 138 nucleotides. The record is from RefSeq and is a predicted model, not a curated record. Lineage: Eukaryota; Metazoa; Chordata; Mammalia; Monotremata; Tachyglossidae.